Molecule: ribosomal RNA, 310 nt
Filed under: uncultured bacterium
Lineage: Bacteria
Description: bacterial SSU rRNA
Rfam family: Bacterial small subunit ribosomal RNA
Source: RNAcentral
GACGAACGCUGGCGGCGUGCCUAAUACAUGCAAGUCGAGCGAACCGACGAGGUGCUUGCACCUUUGACGUUAGCGGCGAACGGGUGAGUAACACGUAAGGAAUCUACCUAUAAGUGGGGGAUAACAUCCGGAAACGGGUGCUAAUACCGCAUAAUAACCGACACCACAUGGUGUAGGGGUAAAAGAUUUAUCGGUGUGAGAUGGAUCCGCGUCUGAUUAGCCAGUUGGCGGGGUAACGGCCCACCAAAGCGACGAUCAGUAGCCGGCCUGAGAGGGUGAACGGCCACAUUGGGACUGAGACACGGCCCAA